CGAAGGGAACCGGAAAUGCGUCAUAGCGCGCGUCUGUUUGGAUGUGGAAGCCGAGACCUAAAAUUGGGGGUGAUCUCUGAGGAGAUGGAUCGGUACCUGCUGCUGGUGAUCUGGGGGGAAGGAAAAUUCCCGUCGGCGGCCAGUAGGGAGGCAGAACAUGGGCCAGAGGUGUCGUCGGGUGAGGGUACUGAGAAUCAGCCGGACUUCACAGCAGCAAAUGUUUAUCACCUCUUGAAAAGAAGCAUUAGUGCUUCAAUUAAUCCAGAAGAUAGUACUUUCCCUGCCUGUUCAGUGGGUGGUAUACCUGGUUCCAAGAAGUGGUUCUUUGCAGUGCAGGCAAUAUAUGGAUUUUAUCAGUUUUGUAGUUCUGAUUGGCAAGAGAUACAUUUUGAUACAGAAAAAGAUAAAAUUGAAGAUGUUCUUCAAACGAAUAUCGAAGAAUGUUUGGGUGCUGUUGAGUGUUUUGAAGAAGAAGACAGUAAUAGCAGGGAAUCAUUAUCCUUGGCUGAUCUCUAUGAAGAAGCUGCAGAAAAUUUGCAUCAGUUAUCAGACAAGCUUCCUGCUCCUGGUAGAGCAAUGGUAGAUAUAAUACUAUUGCUUUCUGACAAAGAUCCUCCUAAAUUGAAAGACUGUUUACCUACUGUAGGAGCAUUAAAACAUUUGAGAGAAUGGUAUUCAGCAAAGAUCACUAUAGCAGGAAAUCAUUGUGAAAUAAACUGUCAGAAAAUUGCAGAAUACCUUUCUGCUAAUGUUGUAUCUUUAGAAGAUCUCAGAAAUGUUAUUGACUCAAAGGAAUUAUGGAGGGGGAAAAUACAGAUAUGGGAAAGAAAGUUUGGAUUUGAAAUUAGUUUUCCUGAAUUUUGUUUAAAGGGAGUCACACCUAAGAAUUUUAGUACAUCUAAUUUAAAUACUGACUUCCUUGCCAAAAAGAUCAUACCAUCAAAGGAUAAGAAUAUUUUGCCAAAGGUUUUCCAUUAUUAUGGCCCUGCUUUAGAAUUUGUGCAGAUGAUAAAAUUAUCAGAUCUACCCUCCUGCUAUAUGUCGGAUAUUGAAUUUGAGUUAGGAUUGACAAACAGUACCAAACAGAAUUCUGUGUUGCUGUUGGAGCAGAUUUCUUCUCUGUGUAGCAAGGUUGGUGCUCUUUUUGUAUUGCCAUGUACCAUUAGUAACAUACUGAUUCCACCUCCCAACCAACUCAGUUCAAGAAAAUGGAAGGAAUAUAUAGCUAAAAAGCCUAAAACAAUCAGUGUUCCAGAUGUUGAAGUGAAAGGAGAGUGUUCUAGCUAUUAUCUCUUGUUACAAGGUAAUGGCAAUAGAAGAUGUAAAGCCACAUUGAUUCACUCAGCCAACCAGAUCAAUGGCUCAUUUGCACUCAAUUUAAUUCAUGGAAAGAUGAAAACAAAGACAGAAGAAGCCAAAUUGAGCUUUCCUUUUGACUUAUUAUCAUUUCCACAUUUUUCUGGGGAGCAGAUUGUACAGAGAGAGAAACAGUUAGCUAAUGUUCAAGUUUUAGCUUUGAAAGAAUGCCUAAAAAGGAGAAAGUUGGCAAAGCAGCCUGAAACAGUUUCUGUUGCUGAACUCAAAAGUCUGUUAGUACUCACAAGGAAACACUUUUUAGAUUAUUUUGAUGCUUUGAUUCCUAAAAUGAUUCUAAGAAAGAUUGACAAAAUUAAAACCUUCAAUAUAUUAAAUGAUUUUAGUCCAGUGGAACCUAAUUCCUCAAGUCUAAUGGAAACCAAUCCUCUGGAAUGGCCAGAAAGGCAUGUUCUUCAAAAUUUGGAAACUUUUGAAAAAACUAAACAAAAAAUGAGAACUGGUUCAUUACCUCAUUCAUCUGAACAGUUGCUGGGCCACAAAGAGGGUCCUCGGGACUCAAUCACAUUAUUGGAUGCUAAAGAAUUGCUGAAGUACUUUACCUCAGAUGGAUUACCCGUUGGAGAUCUUCAACCUUUACCGAUUCAAAAGGGGGAAAAGACUUUUGUUUUGACACCAGAACUUAGUCCUGGGAAACUUCAGGUCUUACCUUUUGAGAAAGCCUCAGUAUGUCAUUAUCAUGGAAUUGAAUAUUGCUUGGAUGACCGAAAAGCUUUGGAAAGAGAUGGAGGAUUUUCUGAACUUCAGUCUCGUCUUAUUCGUUAUGAAACUCAAACUACCUGCACCAGAGAAAGUUUUCCAGUACCUACUGUGUUGAGCCCUCUUCCAUCUCCUGCAGUUUCGUCAGAGCCUGGAAGUGUCCCUGACGGAGAAGUUUUACAAAAUGAACUUCGAACUGAAGUAUCCCGAUUGAAACGGAGAUCUAAAGAUCUGAAUUGCGUUUAUCCCAGAAAAAGACUUGUGAAAUCUGAAAGUUCAGAGUCUCUUCUUUCUCAGACAACUGGUAAUAGUAAUCACUAUCAUCAUCAUGUGACAUCCAGAAAGCCACAAACAGAGCGGUCCUUACCAGUGACUUGUCCAUUGGUUCCAAUUCCUAGCUGUGAAACUCCAAAACUUGCUACAAAGACCAGUUCAGGUCAAAAAAGUAUGCAUGAAUCAAAAACAUCAAGGCAAAUUAAGGAAUCAAGAUCACAGAAACACACACGGAUACUGAAAGAAGUAGUUACUGAAACCCUGAAGAAACACAGUAUUACUGAGACUCAUGAAUGUUUCACUGCAUGCAGCCAGCGUCUCUUUGAAAUCUCUAAGUUCUAUCUAAAGGAUCUUAAAACUUCAAGGGGUCUAUUUGAAGAAAUGAAGAAAACAGCAAACAACAAUGCUGUACAGGCUGGUCUCGAACUCUUGAACUCCUGGCCUCAAGUGAUCCUCUGACCUUAGCCUCCCAAAGCAUUGGGAUUAUAGUCGUGAGCCACCACAUCCAGCCAGAAGUUUUGGCUCUAACAAUGUUGGAUGAAUAAUUUCAAGAGAUGUUCAGGAAGAGAUUCCUGAGUUUUAUGGAAUAUUAUACAAGGUCAGUGUUUCCAAAGAUGUAGUACCUGGGCCAUGGUGUAUGUGUGGGAUGACUUUAAGUGAUACAAACUUUAAAAAGCUUUAAUUGGUUUAUAUUUAAAAAGUUUUAAUUGGUUUAUAUUCAUUUUUAUAUGUAUAUACAAUGUUGCUAUAUUACUAGCAAAUCAUAUACCUUAAGUUAGUACUGUUGAAAUAAUAGGGUAAAGAAAGCUUUUUACGGCUGGGCGUGGUGGCUCAC
Molecule: RNA transcript, 3181 nt
Organism: Gorilla gorilla gorilla (western lowland gorilla)
Lineage: Eukaryota; Metazoa; Chordata; Mammalia; Primates; Hominidae
Gene: MTBP
Gene name: MDM2 binding protein
Exons: 23
Source: RefSeq, a predicted model, not a curated record